Long non-coding RNA from Ahaetulla prasina, 830 nucleotides. RefSeq lists it as uncharacterized. NCBI's taxonomy places the organism in Eukaryota, Metazoa, Chordata, Lepidosauria, Squamata, Colubridae. The transcript is spliced from 3 exons. The record is from RefSeq and is a predicted model, not a curated record.
GAUAGAAAACAGUUCAAAGAACAGAAGGCUCAGUUCCUGAAGCAAGAAUUUUUGACGUCAUUGCCAAAUGACAGGAGAAAUACUAAGUGGCGACUUUCUGCACCACUUCCUCUUAGAGAAGAGCAAGACUGUGAAGAAUCACCCAGAGUAAAAAAGUGGGCCAGACCCAUCUGUACACCAUACACCAAGUUUCAUAUCACACCAAGCCAUACCCCAACAGACCUGUUUAGAAGAAAGCAGCUUUCCUGUAAAACUAGCAGCCCUGUAAUAGGCAAGGAGCAAAAUCUUUCAGACAACUGGCUAAAUUCUCCACAACAGCUUAAAAGAAGAGAAACCUACCAACCUACCAACAGCUCAAAAGAAGGGAAACCUACUAAUGCAUCUUGUCAAACAGAAAUAGCUGUGAAGGAUGAUCUCCAGAAUGAUAGUUUGGAUCGCUUCCUUAACAACUUCUUCUAGGGAUUUCUUUCACCAUGUUCCUAUUAUUUUAGUUUCACUGCAUGUUGUCACAAAGGCUAUAUCAAAAUUUAUGUCCUGUUCUACUGAAAUUGAGAAACGUAUUUCCUUCUUUUAGUUGUAUUCUAGACGUAACUUUCUACUCAAGAAAGGUCAACAGAAAUAAAUGCCUAUAUUGGGAACUGUUGUUUAACAUGCAACUGAAUUUUAUUAAAGCACAGAAUAUACAAGUGGAAAUAGUUUUUAUGAACGUUCUGAGUUAUAUUUAUUAGACUGUACUUGUUAACAAUUGUACUUUUGUAUGCAUGUGGAGAUAGGGACCAAAAAUGAAGUAGGUUUCUUUUGGGUGUUCCUAUUCUUUUAAUAAAUAUAUA